UCAUGAUGCAGUGCAGAGCAAGGAAGAGGGAAAGCUGUGCUGCAGAUCCCAGAGCUCAGGUUUAACGGCCUUUUCUAAAGUGGUGACUGAAGGAGCCAGAAGACACCAAACCAGGCAACUGUGACCACUGCAAGCUCCACAACACUGAAUGUUGGCUCUGGAACCUGGCUCUCAGUUCCCAACCAGGAACCAAAAGUGCUAGAAAUACUUCUAAGGGAUGUCUGCAUAGCCAAUUGUCCAAUUUCACAGACUUUAAUGGCUUCUACUGGAACUUCUGUCUGCCAUGCUCCAAACCAGACACAGUAAAUGACAACGACAGAAAGCCAAGGUCUCUGUAUAAUAUUAUUCAAUCCUGUUAUCUUGGUUAA
RNAcentral lists this long non-coding RNA (368 nucleotides) under Calidris pugnax (ruff). RNAcentral describes it as "lncRNA (ENSCPUG00000011545.1)". Lineage: Eukaryota; Metazoa; Chordata; Aves; Charadriiformes; Scolopacidae. The record is from RNAcentral.